AUUGAACGCUGGCGGCGUGCCUAACACAUGCAAGUCGAGCGGUAACAGGUGUAGCAAUACAUGCUGACGAGCGGCGGACGGGUGAGUAACGCUUGGGAAUCUGCCUAUUAGUGGGGGACAACCCGGGGAAACUCGGGCUAAUACCGCAUACGCACUACGGUGGAAAGCCGGGGACCGCAAGGCCUGGCGCUAACAGAUGAGCCCAAGUCGGAUUAGCUAGUUGGUAGGGUAACGGCCACCAAGGCGACGAUCCGUAACUGGUCUGAGAGGACGACCAGUCACACCGGAACUGAGACACGGUCCGGACUCCUACGGGAGGCAGCAGUGGGGAAUAUUGGACAAUGGGCGAAAGCCUGAUCCAGCGACGCCGCGUGGGUGAAGAAGGCCUGCGGGUUGUAAAGCCCUUUUCAGUGGGGAAGAAAAGCCUCGAGCUAAUAUCUCGGGGUCUUGACGUAACCCAUAGAAGAAGCACCGGCUAACUCUGUGCCAGCCGCCGCCGUAAG
RNAcentral lists this ribosomal RNA (503 nucleotides) under uncultured bacterium. Its description in RNAcentral is "bacterial SSU rRNA". It matches the Rfam family "Bacterial small subunit ribosomal RNA", at positions 29 to 524 of the family's 1533-position model. The record is from RNAcentral.